GAUGAACGCUAGCUACAGGCUUAACACAUGCAAGUCGAGGGGAAACGAUAGAGAAGGCUUGCUUUUUCUAGGCGUCGACCGGCGCACGGGUGAGUAACGCGUAUCCAACCUGCCCACCACUUGGGAAUAACCUUGCGAAAGUAAGACUAAUACCCAAUGAUAUCUCUAGAAGACAUCUGAAGGAGAUUAAAGAUUUAUCGGUGAUGGAUGGGGAUGCGUCUGAUUAGCUUGUUGGCGGGGUAACGGCCCACCAAGGCGACGAUCAGUAGGGGUUCUGAGAGGAAGGUCCACCACAUUGGAACUGAGACACGGUCCAAACUCCUACGGGAGGCAGCAGUGAGGAAUAUUGGUCAAUGGGCGAGAGCCUGAACCAGCCAAGUAGCGUGCAGGAUGACGGCCCUAUGGGUUGUAAACUGCUUUUAUAAGGGAAUAAAGUGAGCCUCGUGAGGCUUUUUGCAUGUACCUUAUGAAUAAGGACCGGCUAAUUCCGUGCCAGCAGCCGCCGUAA
RNAcentral lists this ribosomal RNA (508 nucleotides) under uncultured bacterium. Its description in RNAcentral is "partial 16S ribosomal RNA". It matches the Rfam family "Bacterial small subunit ribosomal RNA", at positions 28 to 523 of the family's 1533-position model. The record is from RNAcentral.